Long non-coding RNA from Meriones unguiculatus (Mongolian gerbil), 198 nucleotides. RefSeq lists it as uncharacterized. Lineage: Eukaryota; Metazoa; Chordata; Mammalia; Rodentia; Muridae. The record is from RefSeq and is a predicted model, not a curated record. The transcript has 3 exons.
GGAAUUCAUCCUUUCUGGUAGCUGAGUACUUGCCUUGGCUUGUUAUCUAGGACUGUUCAAUCCCUCUCUGAGACUCACUGGUCCUGAGCUCCUGCUGGUGGUUCUGGGGUCACACACCCUUGGGACAGACUUCUUUGACGUUCACUCUUUGGGGUGCACAGCGCUGCCUGCUCUGGAUUCCUGACUGAUGAGGCCUGC